GGGCUGGAUCUCUCGGGGUUACAGCCUUGCUGAAUUAUUCACCCUUGUCUUUUGCGUACUUCUUGUUUCCUUGGUGGGUUCGCCCACCACUAGGACAAACAUAAACCUUUUGUAAUUGCAAUCAGCGUCAGUAACAAAUUAAUAAUUACAACUUUCAACAACGGAUCUCUUGGUUCUGGCAUCGAUGAAGAACGCAGCGAAAUGCGAUAAGUAGUGUGAAUUGCAGAAUUCAGUGAAUCAUCGAAUCUUUGAACGCACAUUGCGCCCUUUGGUAUUCCAAAGGGCAUGCCUGUUCGAGCGUCAUUUGUACCCUCAAGCUUUGCUUGGUGUUGGGCGUCUUGUCUCUAGCUUUGCUGGAGACUCGCCUUAAAGUAAUUGGCAGCCGGCCUACUGGUUUCGGAGCGCAGCACAAGUCGCACUCUCUAUCAGCAAAGGUCUAGCAUCCAUUAAGCCUUUUUUCAACUUUUGACCUCGGAUCAGGUAGGGAUACCCGCUGAACUUAAGCAUAUC
RNAcentral lists this ribosomal RNA (510 nucleotides) under Alternaria solani. RNAcentral describes it as "eukaryotic LSU rRNA". The stretch from base 150 to 303 matches the Rfam family "5.8S ribosomal RNA". Lineage: Eukaryota; Fungi; Ascomycota; Dothideomycetes; Pleosporales; Pleosporaceae. The record is from RNAcentral.